CAGCCGCCGCGGGAAUACCAGCACCUCGAGUGGUCAGGAGGUUUAUUGGGCCUAAAGCAUCCGUAGCCGGUUGCAUAAGUUUUCGGUUAAAUCUAUGCGCUUAACGUAUAGGCCGCCGAAAAUACUGUGCAGCUAGGGAGUGGGAGAGGUACACGGUACUCGAUAGGAAGGGGUAAAAUCCUUUGAUCUAUUGAUGACCACCUGUGGCGAAGGCGGUGUACCAGAACACGUUCGACGGUGAGGGAUGAGAGCUGGGGGAGCAAACCGGAUUAGAUACCCGAGUAGUCCCUGUCUCUUAUAC
RNAcentral lists this ribosomal RNA (301 nucleotides) under uncultured bacterium. Its description in RNAcentral is "partial 16S ribosomal RNA". It matches the Rfam family "Archaeal small subunit ribosomal RNA", at positions 459 to 760 of the family's 1478-position model. The record is from RNAcentral.